CAGUCGCCGCGGGAAUACAGAGGGUGCGAGCGUUAAUCGGAUUUACUGGGCGUAAAGCUUGCGUAGGCGGCUUCUUAAGUCGGAUGUGAAAUCCCUGAGCUUAACUUAGGAAUUGCAUUCGAUACUGGGAAGCUAGAGUAUGGGAGAGGAUGGUAGAAUUCCAGGUGUAGCGGUGAAAUGCGUAGAGAUCUGGAGGAAUACCGAUGGCGAAGGCAGCCAUCUGGCCUAAUACUGACGCUGAGGUACGAAAGCAUGGGGAGCAAACAGGAUUAGAUACCCCAGUAGUCCCUGUCUCUUAUAC
RNAcentral lists this ribosomal RNA (301 nucleotides) under uncultured bacterium. RNAcentral describes it as "partial 16S ribosomal RNA". It matches the Rfam family "Bacterial small subunit ribosomal RNA", at positions 509 to 807 of the family's 1533-position model. The record is from RNAcentral.